Molecule: ribosomal RNA, 492 nt
Filed under: uncultured bacterium
Lineage: Bacteria
Description: partial 16S ribosomal RNA
Rfam family: Bacterial small subunit ribosomal RNA
Source: RNAcentral
AGUGAACGCUGGCGGUAGGCCUAACACAUGCAAGUCGAACGGCAGCACAGUAAGAGCUUGCUCUUACGGGUGGCGAGUGGCGGACGGGUGAGGAAUACAUCGGAAUCUACUUUUUCGUGGGGGAUAACGUAGAGAAACUUACGCUAAUACCGCAUACGACCUACGGGUGAAAGCAGUGGAUCUUCGGACCUUGCGCGAUUGAAUGAGCCGAUGUCGGAUUAGCUAGUUGGCGGGGUAAAGGCCCACCAAGGCGACGAUCCGUAGCUGGUCUGAGAGGAUGGUCAGCCACACUGGAACUGAGACACGGUCCAGACUCCUACGGGAGGCAGCAGUGGGGAAUAUUGGGCAAUGGGCGCAAGCCUGAUCCAGCCAUACCGCGUGGGUGAAGAAGGCCUUCGGGUUGUAAAGCCCUUUUGUUGGGAAAGAAAAGCAGCAGGUUAAUACCCCGCUGUUCUGACGGUACCCAAAGAAUAAGCACCGGCUAACUUCGUG